This 1101-nucleotide ribosomal RNA is filed under the name Triticum aestivum (bread wheat). RNAcentral describes it as "partial small subunit ribosomal RNA". The record is from RNAcentral. Lineage: Eukaryota; Viridiplantae; Streptophyta; Magnoliopsida; Poales; Poaceae.
AUGCCAAGCCACAAAUUCGCCUACCCCGAGAGCGUUCUCCACGCCUGGAUCAACGACGUUCGCCAGGCGGUCACCGUCGAUUCGAUUCACAAGUUGUUCCGUCGCUCUGGUGACGGGUAUGUGAUUUGCGCUUACGAGCGGGUGGUGGACGGGAUGUACGGCGUGGAGGCGUACGUCGAGUUUCGGUCUCGAUGGAGGGUGGCCCGAGCUCGAGAUGCCCUGGAUGGCCAUGCUAUCUACGAUGGCUGCUGCAUCCUUGCCGUCGACCUCGUCCCGCCGGUCUACACCACCAUCACCAUGCCGGAUGACGACGGGAUGGCGCCUUCGUACUUCUACGACGACACUCCCUACGCGGAGUGGGCUGCAGCAUUGGCCACGGGCGAGCGCCAUGAUGAGGCGCCUGCUACAUCCACCGACGACCUCCAACUCAAGGCGUCCAUGGGCGCCAUCAGCUCAACUCCGUCCGAGCUCGCCGCGCCUACAGCACCAACUUCGUCCACAACCGUCAACAACGCCCUCCUGGAGCUCAGUGUGAGUGACAAGGUGCUCGAAGUCGACGCCACUACGAUGCCCACCACCUGUUCGACAGGGUGCCCAAGUUGCAACAAGCCCGAGGAGUCGGCACUCACCUCGUUCAGAUCACUACCUUCAUCCAUGAUCGUCGACAACGUUGCCCAUGAGCCUGGACUCGACCUGGACUUAGUGGCCUUGGUACCUGUGCCUGCUAAAUUGGACAGCGUUGGCAUUGCCAUGGACAUGCAGCAGAAUAACUACGAGGAUGGCAAUCCUGUACAACACAAGGACGUUCCCUCAGUACAACUUGCCACAUCAGUUUGUGAGUGCCCUCCACCUAGCGCUUGGAAAUUCCUUCCGUGCAAAUUUCACAAGGUUGCUGCUCCAUUAGUUUGCCCGCCUCUAUUGCAAUGGAAUGAGAACCGUGUGUGGCCACCUCCCUUUCCUCCUGAUGCAAUGACACUGCGUCUGCACUUGUUAUCAUCUGCUAGUUUUGAGUUAUGCCGAUUUUGGUCGCCACCUGAUCAGUUGUAUGAGCAGAAACACACAUGCAGAUUACUGGGUAUGAGUAGUUGUUUUUUUGUUUGA